AAACUAACAAGGAUUCCCCUAGUAACGGCGAGUGAAGAGGGAAAAGCCCAAAUUUGUAAUCUGGCUCUUUCAGAGUCCGAGUUGUAAUUUUAAGAACUGUUUUCCGUGCUGGACCAUGUACAAGUCUGUUGAAAAACAGCAUCAUUGAGGGUGAAAAUCCCGUACAUGAUAUGGACUACCAGUGCAAUGUGAUACAGUCUCUAAGAGUCGAGUUGUUUGGGAAUGCAGCUCAAAGUGGGUGGUAAAUUCCAUCUAAGGCUAAAUAUAGGUGAGAGACCGAUAGCAAACAAGUACCGUGAGGGAAAGAUGAAAAGAACUUUGGAAAGAGAGUUAACAGUACGUGAAAUUGUUAAAAGGGAAACAUUUGAAGUUAGACUUGUUAUUGUUGGUUCAACUUCUUUAUUGAGGUGUAUUCCAAUGGUUAACAGACCAGCAUCAAUUUUUGGGUGUUGGAUAAGGGUUUAGGAAAUGUAGCAACCUUGGUUGUGUUAUAGUCCUUUACUUUGAUACAAUGCUUAGGAUUGAGGAACGCAGUAAGCUUUGUAGCAGAUUUCUUUGGAAAUCUUCUUACUA
RNAcentral lists this ribosomal RNA (573 nucleotides) under Nothopucciniastrum corni. RNAcentral's name for it is "partial large subunit ribosomal RNA". It matches the Rfam family "Eukaryotic large subunit ribosomal RNA", at positions 62 to 636 of the family's 3401-position model. The record is from RNAcentral. Lineage: Eukaryota; Fungi; Basidiomycota; Pucciniomycetes; Pucciniales; Pucciniastraceae. RNAcentral also lists the same sequence under 1 other name.